AUACUUACCUGGCAGGGGAGAUACCAUGAUCGCGAAGGUGGUUUUCCCAGGGCGAGGCUUAUCCAUUGCACUCUGGAUGUGCUGACCCCUGCGAUUUCCCCAAAUGUGGGAAACUCGACUGCAUAAUUUGUGGUACUGGGGGACUGUGUUUGUGCUCUUCCCUA
This is a small nuclear RNA of Myotis lucifugus (little brown bat), 164 nucleotides long. Its record names the gene U1. It matches the Rfam family "U1 spliceosomal RNA". From Rfam's summary of the family: U1 is a small nuclear RNA (snRNA) component of the spliceosome (involved in pre-mRNA splicing). NCBI's taxonomy places the organism in Eukaryota, Metazoa, Chordata, Mammalia, Chiroptera, Vespertilionidae. The record is from Ensembl.